This is a long non-coding RNA of Triticum urartu, 3074 nucleotides long. RefSeq lists it as uncharacterized. Lineage: Eukaryota; Viridiplantae; Streptophyta; Magnoliopsida; Poales; Poaceae. The record is from RefSeq and is a predicted model, not a curated record.
AAUGCAUUUAAUGUAUGAGCCACAUAGACGAGCGUCCGUAAUGAAGCAAAUGAAGAAAUACGGCUGGGCUGUGGGACUGGAUGUAGACAGAGGAGAAGCGGUCUUCUACGGCAAACUAGUCGAGUCGUGGCCCAGGACGUCGGGCCUCUUCCUGAUCCGUGGGUCAGGUAAUUGCCGUCGUCUUCUUCUACCUCACGUUGUUGCGUUUUUUUAGUAGAGAGAGGGCCGAGCUUUGGGAGAGGCAAUUUAACUUAGCGAAGAUCUGCCGGUGGAAAUGGAGUUUUUGAUGCAGGCAAUUAAAAGAUUAACGACGUUGGAUGAGGUUAACGGUAGUGAUGUCCCGAUGUACCCCCUCCAUUAGAUUAGGGCGGGAAUGGAUCAGAAUCAGCCCCCUGCGGAGAUUCGAUGGGAGGAUUCAUGUGGCGGUCGACCAAAGGCAUCUGAGAAGGGGGGGUCGCCAGAAGCUUUCACAUAGUCCAUAGGCAAGAAGGAUCCUAGAGCUCCAGGAUGGACCUGCUGGUAUGUUCGGAGAGAAAAUAACACAUCCAUAAUUUUGUUCUGAAGUUCUGCAAACACUGAUUCCAUGGAUAUGCGAAUUCUUGUGAUUAGAAGAGUAGAUGGCAUGUGGGGUAUAAGUAGUGUGUGAACACUUUCAUUUGUAAUGUUCUGGUAUUGUAUUGUUGGUUCAGUAAUUUACAUAGUUGCAGGCACUGGAAACCCUGAAUGUCAUAGGAAAUUACCUGCGUGCUAAUCAACAUUCAGGGUUGAUAUUCAUUUCAAAAAGUGAUGAGGCACUGAAUUCAUUUUGUUGAGUGUGCUGAAGGGCUGCAUUCUUCGUCUGGAUUAGGGUUAAAAAUUUGUGUGGGAGUCAUAGGCAUGGAUGAUCUUUUGUAUUCAUGAAAACAUGAAAUGUUUGAAUAGAAAUUAGGAGACAGUCAUUGGGUGAAGGGGACAAAGAUAUAUCUUUUUUCUAUGUAAAUGUGUCAUGUUAGUGAUAUUUAGGAGACAGUAAAUGGAGAGGGGAAAGGAUAUAAUUUCCUACUGCAUAAAUAGACCUCGGGUCAUAUAAUUUUCAGGAAUGUGUCAUGUUACUAAAGAGCUGUUGUGUACCAACAAUGUUGUUAGCACAGUGUCAUCUCUAAGGGAGGUAAAUUAGCUAGCAGGACCAAAACUCUGCAAGCAAGAAAGAUAAUGAGGGAAAUCAGACUUCUCUGGUGACUAGAACGAGAACGCUGGGUCGGCGAGUGGUGGAAUGCCACAAGCUAAGCCGUGGAUCGGAAGAUGAAAAUCUAUUUGGUAUGUGGCUCAGGAAAUCCGCUUUUCCAUCGAAUGGCCGCAGGCAUGAAUUGGAUGCAGAGCUCUGGCUCUUCUCCUCCAAAGGCCCCAAUGCGGACGACAUUUGGAAGUAGAGGAGUGAGAAAGAGGGAUAGGAAGCAGAGGUAGCUGACAGCCAUGAAGUUCCUAAUGCAACUAAUCAAUUAGGAGGUAUGUCGAUCAUAAGUAUAUCAUGAUCUUUUUCCUUUUUGCACGCACAAAAGGGGCAACUCGCUGCAGGAAACUACUUAUUGUCAAUUAUGUUGUAAAUUUUGAUUAGCAGCUUAAUAGGGCAGUGGGUAGGAACUUUGCAUUUAAGAAAUGAUCACUAGUAGUGAUCUAAAAAGAUCUAUUAGUAGUGAUCUAAAAAGAUCUUAUAGAUCACUACUAGUGAUCUAUAAGAUCUUAUAUUUAUAGAGGGAGUACUGAUGUACCACAAAUGUGGGUCUGGAGAUUUGCCAGAUGUUUUAAGUUUAACAGAACAUAACGAGGUACUAGUCAAUACAUUUUUUUCUGGUUUAGCAGCUAAAUAGGCUGGUGAGUAGAUGUGUGGGCUCACAAGGUACUGGUUCCUUGAGAGAAUAUUUGCAGAGGCAUUUUAAAAAAUUGGAUUCUUAGGAGUACAUUGUUUGUAAACAUGAUUUGCAGAACCUGCAGUUUUUUCUGUCUGUUUGAAAUGAACUCGUCAUUCAGUCUGUCUUAGCCAUCUCCAUCACCUUAUCAUUUUUGUUAUGAAAUGAAUCAUAAGUAGCAUGCCUUUUCUCUUCUUCCCAUAUUGUUUUCUGUCACAUUAAGCAUGAAAUUUUAUGUUUAUUUGAAGCAGAGGGCCUGAUGCAAAACUGCAUCAUAUUUUUAUAGAUUUUGGCUGCGACGAGCCCCUUUAUCUGCUUUGCUUACAAAGUUAAUAUUUAAAUCUUUUGAUUUUUAGCAGAUGUUUUGGUUGAAUCGAACGGCCCAUAGGUCACAUCGUCACAUAUUGUUCUAGCUUAUUUGAAGCUUUAGAUUUUUUUUCAUAUAUGGAUCUUGGACUUCAAACCGAAUCUGGAUUUGGUGACUUUAUAACCAUUGCAACCCUAUUUCUGGUUUAUCCCUUUUAAGCUGGGUAUGGAUGUGUUCAUGGCUUCAUGCGUUUGUGGAUGAAGCGAAACUUUUGUAGGCGAUGGUAUUUAUAGGCCCACCCAUUGUUUUUCUGCAAUUUGUUGUAUUCUUGCUCUUCCACCUAUUUACUAAUUUGUUUACAGAUGUUUCAGAAAUCUAAACCUGAAAUUAUAUUCAUUAAUUCAUGGAGUCAGGAAACAAGAACUGGAUCCAUGUGUGAGAUGACACAUUCAAUAAACCUUCGGAGCUUGGCACUAGUAUGUUUGGCAGCCGCCAUCAAACUCUUUUGCAAUCUCAGAGCCCGCCUCUAACAGCUGCCAUCAGCGUAAUUUGUGUGAGCGACGACGCACUUAUAUAUGUGCAUCAUAAGAAAUUUGAUGAACUUGAAUAUGCUAGGCACUACUAGAAGUUUGGAAACCCUAAACUCAAAUUCUAGAAUUCUUGUACCUUUCCUGUGGUCCAGCCAAAGGUUGUUUGUCUCAAUUCCUUAGAUUUUGUUUUCCAAUACGAUUGGAGAUGUCUUGACAUCACAAUCAUGUGUUUUUACUUAUUUUCAUGUGUUUCAAAACAAUGUGAUCCUAAGUGACCUAUGUAACGUCUGCAUAUACCCACUUUGAAAAGAAAAAAAAUGCAUGAAAAGCAAAUAACCUUUGGUCAAUGAA